CAGCCGUAAACUAUGCGCGUUAGGUGUACUGGUGACCACGAGUCACCGGGGUGCCGAAGGGAAACCGUGAAACGUGCCGCCUGGGAAGUACGGUCGCAAGGCUGAAACUUAAAGGAAUUGGCGGGGGGAGGCACCGCAACGGGAGGAGCGUGCGGUUUAAUUGGAUUCAACACCGUAAAACUCACCAGGGAAGACUGUUACAUGAAAGCCGAGAUGAAGACUCUGCUAGAUUUUCAGAGAGGUGGUGCAUGGCGUAGACGUCU
This 263-nucleotide ribosomal RNA is filed under the name uncultured archaeon. RNAcentral's name for it is "partial 16S ribosomal RNA". It matches the Rfam family "Archaeal small subunit ribosomal RNA", at positions 748 to 1009 of the family's 1478-position model. The record is from RNAcentral.